CUAGUCGGGUUUCAAUUUUUCCGUGUGCAGUCGCUAUUUGGUGUCGCACGUUCCUGUUGGUUACCGAUUGUUUAGUUAAAGAAUUUUUUGUUUUCUUCAGUCUAAAUUUAAAUUAAUUGAAUAAUCUAUUGGAUUAAAAAUAAUAAAAAAAGUAUUAGUACGGGCUCUCCUUCAUAGAAUUGUAAUAAAAAAUAAAAAAAAAAAAUUCUGCUAUUUAAGGGAGUGCAAGAAAAUUCGGCUCUUGUAAAACAAAAGAGCUAAGCAGAGUCAAAUGUAUCAAGUUAGUGUGUGUUUGUGUCGCGCAAGAGUCCUAUCUGUUCCUGUCCUUAGUGUCACGUGUUGCCUAUGGUUAUAACCGGUAAUUCACUAGUGUAUUUAGUUAAAGAAUUUGUUUCUUUGUUUAAAAUAAAGAUUUAAAAAAUAAUUUAUUGCAUUUAAUAUAAUAAAAAGUCUUUUAUGCGGGUUUUUACUUUAAAAAUUAUAGUAAAAGAUAUUUAAAAAAAAUAACUAUUCAUAAGAAUUCAAGAAAAAGUUGGCUUUCUUAUACGUCAAAGUGUAUCAAAAAAGCUUAGCCUCACAAAAUACAUCAAAGAUGGCGAGUUGGGAAGACAAAGAUAUUUACGCUAUCGUUGAAUUCGCAGUAAGUAAUAGUGAUAAAAAAGAUAUCGAUCUUGUACCGAGCAAGUAAAUUACAGAGGAAAGUGAUGGAUCCUUCUGUCAAUAUCCGCAUCCUAAUGAUUAUCAUAAACUCGAAAAAUACGUGCCAGAAUUACGUGAUGCAAAGAAGAGUUGGGCAAAGUACGCAAUCAAAAUUUUGUCUUAUGCAGAUAAUCACUCUUACGGUCAAAGACGUUUAAAUCGAGCGUAUAUAACAGUAAAUUUAAAAAGUACUGAUGAUGAAAGUAAUCAGCAUCAGAUUGUAGCUACGGAGCCAAAAAUACUCUCGAAGAAAGCAGUGAAUUUAGAUUUAGGUACAAUAUUACGUAUGGAAACAGACCAAGAUCGUCCUCUCUCGUCUUCCAAUAAAAAACAAUUUUUAACGAGAACAAUAAUCCUUCAAGGACUUUUUAGACGGGAAACUAAAUAAUGUAGUAGCUUCAAUUCAACGCAAUCUAAGUAGUGAGAAAAAAAGUCUGCAGUAUGAUAUGAAACGAUACUUUGGAGAGCUGAAAAAUACACUGUUGGCUAAUAAUCUACCUUCAGUUCCUCAGCUAAGUGUAUCUGUUGCAACCACGAAAUUAGGUGUCAAGCUACCUAUAGAAAACCUGGAAGAUUUUUAAAAAUUUGAUGCAGAUAUAAAAAUUUCAGAUUCAUCAAAACAGGCUUUGCUUGUACUUCUUCGUGUUUGGAUUUAUGGACAGAUGACUGCUAAGGGAUGUAUAAGCAAAAUGGCAUCUACUUUAUUGACAAAAAAUGUCGAAAAACACUAUUCCGGCACUGGAAAAAUUAGCAAAGGCACUGGAAAAUUAAAUUUCAGUGCUACUGAGACCUUCAUAUGCAUGAAAGAUGUGGUAACAGAAAAAUUUGGUGAUUCGGAGGAAUGUAAAAAUUUUGCGGGAAAAGUGGGCAAAUGGUUGUCCGGGUGCCGGGACAGAGAUCAUGGACGAAGAGAAUGAUCUCAAUCUUUGUAAUAACAAAAAAAAAAAAUUUAUUCUUAACU
This is a long non-coding RNA of Microplitis mediator, 1660 nucleotides long. RefSeq lists it as uncharacterized. Lineage: Eukaryota; Metazoa; Arthropoda; Insecta; Hymenoptera; Braconidae. The record is from RefSeq and is a predicted model, not a curated record. The transcript has 6 exons.